AGUGAACGCUGGCGGUAGGCCUAACACAUGCAAGUCGAACGGCAGCACGGGAGAGCUUGCUCUCUGGGUGGCGAGUGGCGGACGGGUGAGGAAUACAUCGGAAUCUACUCUGUCGUGGGGGAUAACGUAGGGAAACUUACGCUAAUACCGCAUACGACCUACGGGUGAAAGCAGGGGACCUUCGGGCCUUGCGCGAUUGAAUGAGACGCUGUCGGAUUAGCUAGUUGGCGGGGUAAAGGCCCACCAAGGCGACGAUCCGUAGCUGGUCUGAGAGGAUGAUCAGCCACACUGGAACUGAGACACGGUCCAGACUCCUACGGGAGGCAGCAGUGGGGAAUAUUGGACAAUGGGCGCAAGCCUGAUCCAGCCAUACCGCGUGGGUGAAGAAGGCCUUCGGGUUGUAAAGCCCUUUUGUUGGGAAAGAAAUCCAGCUGGCUAAUACCCGGUUGGGAUGACGGUACCCAAAGAAUAAGCACCGGCUAACUUCGUGCCAGCAGCCGCAGUAA
RNAcentral lists this ribosomal RNA (506 nucleotides) under uncultured bacterium. RNAcentral's name for it is "partial 16S ribosomal RNA". It matches the Rfam family "Bacterial small subunit ribosomal RNA", at positions 29 to 523 of the family's 1533-position model. The record is from RNAcentral.